GUCACAAGAAAAAUAUCUAAGGACAAGAGUACCUUACUGGUGCUCAGUCAGAACAAUGACAAGUGAAUGUUAAGGCAACGGUGUCAAGCUUGUGUUUGUUUUGACUGCA
This is a long non-coding RNA of Poecilia latipinna (sailfin molly), 109 nucleotides long. RefSeq lists it as uncharacterized. The transcript is spliced from 3 exons. The record is from RefSeq and is a predicted model, not a curated record. NCBI's taxonomy places the organism in Eukaryota, Metazoa, Chordata, Actinopteri, Cyprinodontiformes, Poeciliidae.